This 1108-nucleotide ribosomal RNA is filed under the name uncultured marine bacterium. RNAcentral describes it as "bacterial SSU rRNA". It matches the Rfam family "Bacterial small subunit ribosomal RNA". The record is from RNAcentral.
CUUGGGAACUCUGGAAACCGCCUUAAAUCUACGAAGCAUACGUGAUCUGCAAUGGAGGACUUGAUUGCAGGAUGCGCUGAGUGAGAGGCUUGGUGUAAAGCUCUUCGUCGGAGGAAAUGACUGUACGAUAAGAAGUCGCUACCUCGUGCAGCAGCGCGUAUACGAGGGACUAGCGUAGUCCGAUACUGGCUAAGAGUCGUAGUGUGAAAAGUAGUGUGAAUCCAGGGCUACUCUGAACUGCAUAAAACUUUUCAGCUAGAGUAUGAUAGAGGAAAGCAGAAUUUCUAGUGUAGAGGUGAAAUUCGUAGAUAUUAGAAAGAAUACCAAUUGCGAAGGCAGCUUUCUGGAUCAUUACUGACACUGAGGAACGAAAGCAUGGGUAGCGAAGAGGAUUAGAUACCCUCGUAGUCCAUGCCGUAAACGAUGUGUGUUAGACGUUGGAAAUUUAUUUUCAGUGUCGCAGGGAAACCGAUAAAACACACCGCCUGGGGAGUACGACCGCAAGGUUAAAACUCAAAUGAAUUGACGGGGACCCGCACAAGUAGUGGAGCAUGUGGUUUAAUUCGAAGAUACGCGCAGAACCUUACCAACACUUGACAUGUUCGUCGCGACUCUAAGAGAUUAGAGUUUUCGGUUCGGCCGGACGAAACACAGGUGCUGCAUGGCUGUCGUCAGCUCGUGUCGUGAGAUGUUGGGUUAAGUCCCGCAACGAGCGCAACCCUCACUUUUAGUUGCCAUCAUUAAGUUGGGCACUCUGAAAGAACUGCCAGUGAUAAGCUGGAGGAAGGUGGGGAUGACGUCAAGUCCUCAUGGCCCUUACGUGUUGGGCUACACACGUGCUACAAUGGUAUCUACAACAGGAAGCAAGACUGCGAAGUUAAGCAAAUCCCUAAAAGAUACCUCAGUUCGGAUUGCACUCUGCAACUCGAGUGCAUGAAGCUGGAAUUACUAGUAAUCGUGGAUCAGCGUGCCACGGUGAAUGCGUUCCCGGGUCUUGUACACACCGCCCGUCACACCAUGGGAGUUGGUUCUACCUUAAGGCAAGGUUUCAAACCCUUGACCACGGUAUAGUCAGCGACUGGGGUGAAGUCGUAACAAGGUAACCGUA